UGGGGAAUAUUGCGCAAUGGGGGGAACCCUGACGCAGCCAUGCCGCGUGAAUGAAGAAGGCCUUAGGGUUGUAAAGUUCUUUCGGUAUUGAGGAAGGUUGAUGUGUUAAUAGCACAUCAAAUUGACGUUAAAUACAGAAGAAGCACCGGCUAACUCCGUGCCAGCAGCCGCGGUAAUACGGAGGGUGCGAGCGUUAAUCGGAAUAACUGGGCGUAAAGGGCACGCAGGCGGUUAUUUAAGUGAGGUGUGAAAGCCCCGGGCUUAACCUGGGAAUUGCAUUUCAGACUGGGUAACUAGAGUACUUUAGGGAGGGGUAGAAUUCCACGUAUAGCGGUGAAAUGCGUAGAGAUGUGGAGGAAUACCGAAGGCGAAGGCAGCCCCUUGGGAAUGUACUGACGCUCAUGUGCGAAAGCGUGGGGAGCAAACAGGAUUAGAUACCCUGGUAGUCCACGCUGUAAACGCUGUCGAUUUGGGGGUUGGGGUUUAACUCUGGCGCCCGUAGCUAACGUGAUAAAUCGACCGCCUGGGGAGUACGGCCGCAAGGUUA
RNAcentral lists this ribosomal RNA (547 nucleotides) under uncultured bacterium. RNAcentral describes it as "bacterial SSU rRNA". It matches the Rfam family "Bacterial small subunit ribosomal RNA", at positions 355 to 896 of the family's 1533-position model. The record is from RNAcentral.